UAAUGUCUUGGACUUUCCAAAGAAAACAGUAUUAAUAAGGAAACUGAGACUCAGAUCAGAUUUAGUCAUCAUCACAAGCUAGUCAGAAUUGACACUAGAACUUGAAACCAGGCUUUAGGAUUGUAGGUUCAGUGCUUCUUCUUCAAAUUUACCAUAUUGCCUGAUAUUUUAAUAGAAAGAAGAGAGGUAGGAAGGAAGGAAGGAAGGAAGGAAGGAAGGAAGGAAGGAAGGAAGGAAGGAAGGAAGGAAGGAAGGAAGGAAGGAAGGAAGGAAGGAAGGAAGGAAGGAAGGAAGGAAAGAUGGCAGGAAGGAAGGAAGGAAGGAAAGAUGGCAGAAAGGAAAGAUGGCAGGAAGGAAAGAAAGAUGACAGGAAGGAAAGAUGGCAGGAAGUCAGGCAAGAAGGCAGGAAGGAAGGAAAGAAAGAAGGAGGGAGGGAGGGAGGGAAAAGGAAGGAAGGAAGGAAGGAAGGAAGGAAGGAAGGAAGGAAGGAAGGAAGGAAGGAAGGAAGGAAGGAAGGAAGGAAGGAAGGAAGGAAGGAAGGAAGGAAGGAAGGAAGGAAGGAAGGAAGGAAGGAAGGAAGGAAGGAAGGAAGGAAGGAAGGAAGGAAGGAAGGAAGGAAGGAAGGAAGGAAGGAAGGAAGGAAGGAAGGAAGGAAGGAAGGAAAGCAAAAUAGUCCCUGUCCUCAAGGAAUUUGAUGGGGUAGAUAAUAUGUAGAUAGACUUGUAUGUUCAAGCUAGAUAUAAAGUAGGUAAAACAUAAUUUGAGAAGGGCAGGCACUAGUGACUAGGGAAGAUUGGUAAAGACCUCUUGCCAAUGGGAGGACUGAAGUCCUAUUAUCAUAGGAUUGUAGGCUUAGUCCUAAAAGUGACUUCAGAUGUUUUCCAUGUAGCCCAACCUCCUUAUAUGAUAGAUGAGGGAAAUGAGGGCUAAAAAGACAUGCCCAGGGGCACAUAGAAGUGACAGAGGUAGGAUUUGACUCAAGUACUUUGUUCCCAGUAUUCUUUCCAUUGUAUCAAAAGGAAAAGCAUUUUGAAAAUACAUAUACCAUUCUACAAGUCAACAUUAUUAGAUAGAGAGAAAGAAAAGAGAAACAUUCACCAAUCGGAGAAUGGCUAAACAAAUUGUAUUAUAUUCUUGAAAUGGAAUAUUACCAUUCUAUAGGAAACUGUUUCUGAUGGAUACAGAGAAGCAUAGAAAAAGCUACAUCAACUGAUAUGGAGUAAAGUCAUCAGAGCCAAGAAAACCAGAUAUACAUUAACAGAAAGAAUAACCACAAAAAGUGAAUCUAGCAAAAAUAUUUUUAAGUAUAACUCCAAAGAAAAGAUUUGAUGAGAUACUCUAACCUCACCUUUUUAGAAGUGAGAGGUCAAUGAGGAUAGUACAUUGCAUAUAUGAUUAGAUAUUUGCAAUGUAUUGUCAAUCAAUUGUGUUGAUCCUUU
Molecule: long non-coding RNA, 1439 nt
Filed under: Monodelphis domestica (gray short-tailed opossum)
Lineage: Eukaryota; Metazoa; Chordata; Mammalia; Didelphimorphia; Didelphidae
Description: lncRNA (ENSMODG00000048394.1)
Source: RNAcentral